This 161-nucleotide ribosomal RNA is filed under the name Flavobacterium cheniae. Lineage: Bacteria; Pseudomonadati; Bacteroidota; Flavobacteriia; Flavobacteriales; Flavobacteriaceae. The record is from RNAcentral.
UAAGGUGGUUAUUGCGUCGGGGCUCACCUCUUCCCAUUCCGAACAGAGAAGUUAAGCCCGAUUGCGCAGAUGGUACUGCAGUUAUGUGGGAGAGUAUGUCGCCGCCUUUCUUUUGAAAAGCCCUAUCAGUAAUGAUAGGGCUUUUUUGUUACCAAUAUAGC